UACGGAGGGGACUAGCGUUGUUCGGAAUUACUGGGCGUAAAGCGUACGCAGGCGGCUAUGUAAGACAGGUGUGAAAUCCCCGGGCCUAACCUGGGAACUGCAUUUGUGACUGCAUAGCUAGAGUCCGUCAGAGGGGGGUGGAAUUCCACGUGUAGCAGUGAAAUGCGUAGAGAUGUGGAGGAACACCGAUGGCGAAGGCAGCCCCCUGGGAUGAGACUGACGCUCAUGUACGAAAGCGUGGGGAGCAAACAGG
This 253-nucleotide ribosomal RNA is filed under the name uncultured bacterium. RNAcentral's name for it is "partial 16S ribosomal RNA". It matches the Rfam family "Bacterial small subunit ribosomal RNA", at positions 524 to 776 of the family's 1533-position model. The record is from RNAcentral.